ACACUCCUACGGGAGGCAGCAGUGGGGAAUUUUGGACAAUGGGCGAAAGCCUGAUCCAGCAAUGCCGCGUGAGUGAAGAAGGCCUUCGGGUUGUAAAGCUCUUUUGUCAGGGAAGAAACGGUGAGAGCUAAUAUCUUUUGCUAAUGACGGUACCUGAAGAAUAAGCACCGGCUAACUACGUGCCAGCAGCCGCGGUAAUACGUAGGGUGCAAGCGUUAAUCGGAAUUACUGGGCGUAAAGCGUGCGCAGGCGGUUUUGUAAGUCUGAUGUGAAAUCCCCGGGCUCAACCUGGGAAUUGCAUUGGAGACUGCAAGGUUAGAAUCUGGCAGAGGGGGGUAGAAUUCCACGUGUAGCAGAGAAAUGCGUAGAUAUGUGGAGGAACACCGAUGGCGAAGGCAGCCCCCUGGGUCAAGAUUGACGCUCAUGCACGAAAGCGUGGGGAGCAAACAGGAUUAGAUACCCCAGUAGUCCC
RNAcentral lists this ribosomal RNA (472 nucleotides) under uncultured organism. RNAcentral's name for it is "partial 16S ribosomal RNA". It matches the Rfam family "Bacterial small subunit ribosomal RNA", at positions 333 to 797 of the family's 1533-position model. The record is from RNAcentral.